RNAcentral lists this ribosomal RNA (441 nucleotides) under uncultured bacterium. RNAcentral describes it as "bacterial SSU rRNA". It matches the Rfam family "Bacterial small subunit ribosomal RNA", at positions 338 to 795 of the family's 1533-position model. The record is from RNAcentral.
CCUACGGGAGGCUGCAGUCGAGAAUCUUCCCCAAUGGACGAAAGUCUGAGGGAGCGACGCCGCGUGUAUGAAGACGCCCUUCGGGGUGUAAAGUACUUUUUUCUGGGACGAAUUUUGACGGUACCAGAAGAAUAAGAGGUUGCUAACUCUGUGCCAGCAGCAGCGGUAAUACAGAGACCUCAAGCGUUAUCCGGAUUUAUUGGGCGUAAAGCGUCCGCAGGUGGCUUUGUAAGUCGGGGGUCAAAUUCCGGGGCUCAACCCUGGAGCUGCUUCCGAAACUGCAAGGCUAGAGACUGGGAGAGGCAAGCGGAAUUGCCGGUGUAGUAGUAAAAUGCGUUGAUAUCGGCAAGAACACCAAAGGCGAAGGCAGCUUGCUAGAACAGUUCUGACACUCAUGGACUAAAGCGUGGGUAGCGAAAGGGAUUAGAUACCCUUGUAGUC